This 440-nucleotide ribosomal RNA is filed under the name Chrysaora helvola. RNAcentral describes it as "partial 16S ribosomal RNA". It matches the Rfam family "Bacterial large subunit ribosomal RNA", at positions 1946 to 2515 of the family's 2925-position model. The record is from RNAcentral. Lineage: Eukaryota; Metazoa; Cnidaria; Scyphozoa; Semaeostomeae; Pelagiidae.
CCGUGAUAAAGUAGCAUAAUCAUUUGUCACUUAAUUAGUGACUGGAAUGAAUGGUUGAACGAAUCUUCCACUGUCUCAAUAAGAGAUUCUAUAAAAUUGGAAUUGUAGUGAAGAUACUACAAAUAAAUUGCAAGACGAAAAGACCCUAUUGAGCUUUACUGGAUACUUGUAACAACAAUAAACAAUAUUAAUUUAUAUUUUUUAUAAACAAUGCAAGUAAGACAGUUUGGUUGGGGCGACCACCCUUAAAAUAGUAACAAGGGAGAUCUAAAGGUUAACAAAAUGUAUAAAAACCUAACUGAAUUAAUAACAGUUUAAACAGACACAAAAGUGUGGGACAUAAUGACCCGCUUAAUAAAAUUAAAAAAUAAGCGAUUACGGAAAAAGUUACCAUAGGGAUAACAGGGUAAUAUUUUCAAAGAGUUCUAAUCGAUGAAAAU